AUGAAGUCUAGGGUAAAUUUGUGCACCUUUUUGAAUGGCAUCUUUGACCAUUUUUGUCAUUCGUAUUUUUUAAAAAAGUUUUACACUUUGAAAAUGAGCUCGAUGGCAUUAUAUAUAUUCCAGUCUUUAUGGACAUCCUUUAAAAAAAAAAAGAUUUUAUGUAUUUAUUCAUGAGAGACAAAAAGGAGAGAGAGAGAGGCAGAGACACAGGCAGAGGGAGAAGCAGGCUCCAUGCAGGGAGCCCGGUGUGGGACUUGAUUCCGGGUCUCCAAUAUCAUGUCCUGGGCCGAAGGCAGACACUCAACCGCUGAGCCAGCCACCCAGGCGUCCCUAUGGACAUCCUAAUAGACUGUUUUGUGUGUCUUUUUCAAUGGAAUUCAUAUAAAAUAAAUUAUACUUCUUACAUAUCAGUAAUAAAUAUGCUGUUUGCUUAUAGAACAUACUUAUUAAAUUUUUACUGCAUUGUAUGUCACUAAUCUUUGAUAGGACACACGAAACUUUUUAAAGCAAUCACAUUGUGUGGUUUAGGAAUUCAAUUAUCUUUAAUAUGGAUUAUCUGUUACGGUCUUGUUUUGUGCAAAUUUGAAUUAUGUGAGUUUGGGAAGUUUGAUAUCUGAAAAAUGUCAAUAAGAUCCCUAUAAAAACAAUUUGAAAUAAUGCAAAUCUGUCCAAAUUAAUUUUUUUUAAAGCUGUCCAGAAUUUCAAGAAUUUAGCACUGUAGGCCAAAUGUGUUUACGCUCGGUCAUGCAGCAGCCUCACUUUGCUUGGUGAAUAGAAAUCCUGCCAUCCAAUGUUAGCUCUGUACUCCAGGUGUAGAUGAGCCUUCAGGAACUUACCCUUCAUGUGAAAUUUGAAAACUCCACUAGUUACUGAUGAGCAGAAAAAAUUUAAAAACACUUUUUUCUUAUUCUAAAAUACAGCCCUAUUGUAAAAAAUCUGAGAAAUGAAGAAAAGAGUAAAGUAAAAUUGCUAAGGGGAAAUUGUAAGGAAACAAAAAUUACACAUUAACAAAUU
This 1014-nucleotide long non-coding RNA is filed under the name Canis lupus familiaris (dog). Its description in RNAcentral is "lncRNA (ENSCAFG00040015965.1)". The record is from RNAcentral. Lineage: Eukaryota; Metazoa; Chordata; Mammalia; Carnivora; Canidae.